RNAcentral lists this ribosomal RNA (495 nucleotides) under uncultured bacterium. RNAcentral describes it as "partial 16S ribosomal RNA". It matches the Rfam family "Bacterial small subunit ribosomal RNA", at positions 28 to 507 of the family's 1533-position model. The record is from RNAcentral.
GACGAACGCUGGCGGCGCGCCUAAUACAUGCAAGUAGAACGCUGAAGGAGGAGCUUGCUUCUCUGGAUGAGUUGCGAACGGGUGAGUAACGCGUAGGUAACCUGCCUGGUAGCGGGGGAUAACUAUUGGAAACGAUAGCUAAUACCGCAUAAUAGUAGAUGUUGCAUGACAUUUGCUUAAAAGGUGCAAUUGCAUCACUACCAGAUGGACCUGCGUUGUAUUAGCUAGUUGGUGGGGUAACGGCUCACCAAGGCGACGAUACAUAGCCAACCUGAGAGGGUGAUCGGCCACACUGGGACUGAGACACGGCCCAGACUCCUACGGGAGGCAGCAGUAGGGAAUCUUCGGCAAUGGACGGAAGUCUGACCGAGCAACGCCGCGGGAGUGAAGAAGGGUGUCGGAUCGUAAAGCUCUGUUGUAAGAGAAGAACGAGUGUGAGAGUGGAAAGUUCACACUGUGACGGUAUCUUACCAGAAAGGGACGGCUAACUACGUG